Long non-coding RNA from Oncorhynchus tshawytscha (Chinook salmon), 582 nucleotides. The record is from Ensembl. Lineage: Eukaryota; Metazoa; Chordata; Actinopteri; Salmoniformes; Salmonidae.
AGUUUGUGACGCGGGCUAAGUCAUGUGACGCGAGCUAAGUCAUGUGACGCGGGCUAAGUCAUGUGACGCGGGCUAAGUCAUGUGACGCGAGCUAAGUCAUGUGACGCGGGCUAAGUCAUGUGACGCGGGCUAAGUCAUGUGACGCGGGCUAAGUCAUGUGACGCGGGCUAAGUCAUGUCUACUGUUUUUCUAGAUCAGUGUUUCCCAACUCCUCCUGUUCCCCCAACAGAACACAUUCUAAACCAGUGUUUCCCAACUCCUCCUUGUUUCCCAACAGAACACAUUCUAAACCAGUGUUUCCCAACUCCUCCUGUUCCCCCAACAGAACACAUUCUAAACCAGUGUUUCCCAACUCCUCCAACAGAACACAUUCUAAACCAGUGUUUCCCAACUCCCCCAACAGAACACAUUCUAAACCAGUGUUUCCCAACUCCUCCUGUUCCCCCAACAGAACACAUUCUAAACCAGUGUUUCCCAACUCCCCCAACAGAACACAUUCUAAACCAGUGUUUCCCAACUCCCCCAACAGAACACAUUCUAAACCAGUGUUUCCCAACUCCCCCAACAGAACACAUUCUAAAC